This 464-nucleotide ribosomal RNA is filed under the name uncultured bacterium. RNAcentral describes it as "partial 16S ribosomal RNA". It matches the Rfam family "Bacterial small subunit ribosomal RNA", at positions 28 to 507 of the family's 1533-position model. The record is from RNAcentral.
GACGAACGCUGGCGGCGUGCUUAACACAUGCAAGUCGAACGGAAAGGCCCUGCUUGCAGGGUACUCGAGUGGCGAACGGGUGAGUAACACGUGGGUGAUCUGCCCUGCACUUCGGGAUAAGCCUGGUAAACUGGGUCUAAUACCGGAUAGGAGCCAUUUUUAGUGUGAUGGUUGGAAAGUUUUUUCGGUGUUGGAUGAGCUCGCGGCCUAUCAGCUUGUUGGUGGGGUAAUGGCCUACCAAGGCGGCGACGGGUAGCCGGCCUGAGAGGGUGGACGGCCACAUUGGGACUGAGAGACGGCCCAGACUACAACGGGAGGCAGCAGUGGGGAAUAUUGCACAAUGGGCGCAAGCCUGAUGCAGAGACGCCGCGUGGGGGAUGACGGCCUUCGGGUUGUAAACUCAUUUCGCUAGGGAAGAAGAUUUUGUGACGGUACCUAGAUAAGAAGCACCGGCUAACUACGUG